CACAUUCUAGCCUAGAGGACAAAGGGAUGGCUGUGUUUCUGUCUUGAAGAAUUCUGGAGUACCAUGGGAGAGAAGGCCUAAGUCCCUGCAGUGGUUUGAAAGAAAAUAGCCCCCAAAAGGGAGUGGCACUAUGAGGAGGUGUGGCCUCACUGGAGGAAGUGUGUCACUGGGGGGGCGGGCUUUGAGGUCUCUCUUGGGCAAGCUUUCCCCAGUGUAAUUGUCAGCCGACUUCCUGGUGUCUGGAGAUGUAGAACUCUCAGCUCCUCCAGCACCACGUCUGUCUGCACACCGCCAUGCUCCCUGUCAUGAUGGUAAUGGACCGGACCUCUGAAACUACUUUUGUUUUGAGACUGAAUGUAUGGAAACCAUGCUUACUGUGAACUCGAGAGCCUCCUGAGAGCUGGGGUUACAGCAAUAGAAAGCAGACUGAGACGGGUCACUUGACAAGGCAGAUGAUGAGGAGGAGGGUACAAAGUCAUGCACAGGAUCAACACAGCAUCAUGGAGCACCCUGCUGUGGGUCAGGAUGGCAUUCAGCACCCAGAGAUGCACAAAGGAGCUGCCAGGAGAGUUGCUGAGAUCCUGCAGUUGCCGGAAGAGGAGGGUGCUGGCCAACCUGCAGGAUCUCAGCCAUCGUGACGAGGUCCCAUUCCUAGAGCCCUUGAUGCCGGACCACUCUGAGGAUGAAGACUUGAAGGAGACACACAGGUGUUGCCACGUCUCGGGCUGUCAUACCUGCAACUGUCUUCUUGGGGUGAUCAAAGAUUAUGGCUCUCGGGAGUCUCAGGAAGGAUGUCUUAUUCUGGAAAGUGAGCCCCACGGGCAGCGAAGAUCACCUUUGUCCUUGUCUGUGGAUCCCACUGGAAGAAUGCAUGACCCAGGACCUCUUCACUGGGUCCUUUCCAUAGCUAGCUCCGUCCAGUUCCUGAGUGCAGCUUGCCUGGCACGAGCGAGGGCCUGGAUUUGACCCCCAGCACUAGAAAAUCAAACCACCACACAAGCACAUAGGUAAAAACACAUUGCUUUGUUUAUUAUCCAGUGCCCACAUCUUAGCAACAGUAAUUCCUGCAAAUUUCCAUUUCUAAUGGUAUCAGAAACCAGUAUGUCAACUGUGGACAGUGGCUGGAAUCUCCCUACCCAGGGCAGG
RNAcentral lists this long non-coding RNA (1146 nucleotides) under Cricetulus griseus (Chinese hamster). RNAcentral's name for it is "lncRNA (ENSCGRG00015036282.1)". Lineage: Eukaryota; Metazoa; Chordata; Mammalia; Rodentia; Cricetidae. The record is from RNAcentral.